AAUAUUGCACAAUGGAGGAAACUCUGAUGCAGCGACGCCGCGUGAACGAUGAAGGCUNNNGAGUCNUCAAGUUCUGUCCUAGGNGACNAUAAUGACGGUACCCUAGGAGCAAGCCCCGGCUAACUACGUGCCAGCAGCCGCGGUAAUACGUAGGGGGCAAGCGUUGUCCGGAUUUAUUGGGCGUAAAGGGUUCGCAGGCGGCCUUUUAAGUCAGAUGUGAAAGCCCACGGCUCAACCGUGGUAAGCAUUUGAAACUGGAAGGCUUGAGUUAAGGAGAGGAAAGUGGAAUUCCUAGUGUAGCGGUGAAAUGCGUAGAUAUUAGGAGGAAUACCAGUGGCGAAGGCGACUUUCUGGACUUAUACUGACGCUGAGGAACGAAAGCGUGGGGAGCAAACAGG
Molecule: ribosomal RNA, 398 nt
Filed under: uncultured bacterium
Lineage: Bacteria
Description: partial 16S ribosomal RNA
Rfam family: Bacterial small subunit ribosomal RNA
Source: RNAcentral